GGAAUAUUGGACAAUGGGGGCAACCCUGAUCCAGCCAUGCCGCGUGCGUGAAGAAGGCCUUAGGGUUGUAAAGCGCUUUCACUGGUGAAGAUGAUGACGGUAGCCAGAGAAGAAGCCCCGGCUAACUCCGUUCCAGCAGCCGCGGUAAUACGGAGGGGGCAAGCGUUGUUCGGAAUUACUGGGCGUAAAGGGCGCGCAGGCGGCUGCUCAAGUCAGGCGUGAAAGGCCUGGGCUCAACCCGGGAAUUGCGCUUGAGACUGAGCUGGCUUGAGUGCGGGAGAGGAUGGUGGAAUUCCCAGUGUAGAGGUGAAAUUCGUAGAUAUUGGGAAGAACACCGGUGGCGAAGGCGGCCAUCUGGACCGUAACUGACGCUGAGGCGCGAAAGCGUGGGGAGCAAAC
Molecule: ribosomal RNA, 399 nt
Filed under: uncultured bacterium
Lineage: Bacteria
Description: bacterial SSU rRNA
Rfam family: Bacterial small subunit ribosomal RNA
Source: RNAcentral